Long non-coding RNA from Prosopis cineraria, 2103 nucleotides. RefSeq lists it as uncharacterized. Lineage: Eukaryota; Viridiplantae; Streptophyta; Magnoliopsida; Fabales; Fabaceae. The transcript is spliced from 3 exons. The record is from RefSeq and is a predicted model, not a curated record.
GGAGGGAGAGAAAUUUGCUCUCCAUUCUUCGUACACCAUCCACCUUCCUUUUCGUUCUGUCGCUGGUGACUGUGAGUGCCGGAGUCUUCCUCUUCAUCCUCCUUUGCGACUGACGCCAAUGACCUCCUUACUUUCUCGAGCUGACUCAUGUCUGAACUGGGGAAGAGUAAGAGAAAAUCUGUCGCUCUCUUCCUCCUCUUCAUAGCUCGCUGCUGCCGUAGGUAAAUACGGCAGCUCCGUCCAUCACUCAAAUCCAUGAUCUGGGUUCUUCAAUGUUUUACUAUGGAAGUUAGUUCGUUGUUGGAAGAGGUUCAAAUUGAGGCUGUCUCUUCCCCUGCACCACCGCCGUUCUUCUUUUGCCUUUGUCAUUGGGUCUCUUAUUCCUCAUCUUGACUUGCUUCAACCUUGCUGUUCUGCAUGUUCGAAUAUGGAGAGAGAAGUUCAAGCAAGUUGACAUAUUACUCUUUUGAGGACGAUGAAGAAGUAUGGACUUGAAUUUUAUUUGAGUUUAAUUUGAAUUUAUAUAUGAAUGAAAUUAGGGGAAACUAGACUAAUUCAAAUAUAGAUAUUGGAGAAUUUUGAGAACAAUUGUUGGGAUGAAUGGAAGAAUUGAAGCUUGGUAUUAGUUAAGAUUGGAUGUUUGUGAGAUAUUUUAUGAAAUAGCUGUUGGAAGGAGUUGGCCCAUGAUGAUUAAACAUGUGUAAUAAUUUAAUUGUUGUUGUUUAGAAAAUUUUUGGAAGGUACUUUUCUUUGAUAGAAGUUGAAAGCUUGGUCAUUUCAAAUACUGAUUUAGGACAACUUUUAGUAAAGGAAUUGAAAAAAAAAAACAGAAAAAACACUUGGUCUUAUGGGCUAAAUAUUGUUUAAAAUAAAGGGUAUUUGAUAAAAUGUUUGAAAAGAGGAAUUUUGUAUUUAAAGUGGCAAAAUAUAUGUGAUAAUUAUAUUAUUGUUGAUUAAAUAAUCUUGAAAGACAUUUGUUCUUUGCAAUGAAAGUUAAGGUAGAAUUUAAAGGUUGUUGGGAGAGAUAUUUGAGUUGGUAAUUCAAGAACUAAAUUGCUAUUUGGACAUUCAUUUGGGAUAUUUUAGGAUGUUUGAUGCCAUACUAAGAAAGAUAAAAGUGAAGGUUUGCUUUCUGUUAUUUAUCUAAGUUGCUUUGGAUUAAAUAGUUUGGACGGUAAAGCAUGUUUGAGGAAGUGACAAUGGUAUUACUUGAAUAAUAGGAAUUUAAGGAUAAAGCAUUGUUCCUAGAAGAUUUGUUUGGAAGUAAGUUAUACACUUGGGAGCUCUACAUGUAAGUGGAUAGCUUCCCAAUUGAUAUUUCAUUAAAAUCUCCUUUAUUCAAAUAUUACAUUUUUAUGCAAAUUCUUUUUACGAUAACGAUGUGAUUAUGAGAUAUUUUAUUGAUUAAAUUACUUUAUUUCGUGAAAUUAUUUUAUCAAAAUUGAUCAUUUUAGUCAAUCAGUAAAUACAAGUUUGAAUUUUAAUUAUGAGAUUUCAUUUUGGAAAUUAUUGAACUGUUACGAAAAAAUGAUUCAUGCGAGUUCGACAUUGAAAGGAAAAUUUGAUUGAAUAGUGAUCAAUUUCUCGCAUGUUUGAAAAUGACUUUACAAAAGGGACUUUAUACGAAACACUGGUUGCUAACGGUAGUUCCGUUAGCCCUUAGCGCGCCAUGGUACACCUAGCUAGCAGGGUGCUUAUAGGAAGUGCUAGCCCCGUGCGAUGGCCAACACACGUGGAACGAAGGGAUGGUUAUUCGUGAGCAUAGUACUCACGUUUGUUUCGUGGUUUCAAGCCACAUUUGGUUAGCAAUACCCUCGUGGACUGUGUGUCCACGUUUGUUUCGUGACUUCAGCCACGUUUGGUUAUUUACCCUCGUGGAUUGUGUGUCCACGUUUGUAUUCGUGGCAUCAGCCGCAUUCAGUUAUUUACUCUCGUGAACUGUGUGUUCACGUUUGUUUAUUGUUCUGAUAAGUCCCUAAAAUUUUAAAUUUGAUUAUUUGGUGAUUUUAUAUUCCAUUGAUUUUUAUUUAGUAAAUUUUUACAAACAUUAAUUUCAUUUAUGUGCUUUCUUGAGAUCAAGUGAUAAUAACAUUUGUUAUGGUA